UGUUGACACGUCACAACAUGACAACACACACUGAGGCAAGUUGUUUGUUUAGCCAGGGCCUUUCUAGCCAUCCCUAUAUGUAUGUUUCCCUUCGUAAACCCCGUUGAGCCUUAGCCAUUUUAUUCAUUGUAAACCCCAUGUUAACGUUUAAGCAUUAUUCAUCAUGAACCCCCUGUUAACUUUUAAUCAUCCAUUUCCUUUUAUGUCAUAACUCGGUAUGAUUGUGUGAAUUGCAAGAUGUGCAAUAAAACUAAGUUUGGGGUGGAAAUC
RNAcentral lists this long non-coding RNA (270 nucleotides) under Lathyrus oleraceus (garden pea). RNAcentral's name for it is "Pisum sativum (pea) long non-coding RNA (PSAT_LNC018937)". Lineage: Eukaryota; Viridiplantae; Streptophyta; Magnoliopsida; Fabales; Fabaceae. The record is from RNAcentral.